This 234-nucleotide long non-coding RNA is filed under the name Nicotiana benthamiana. Its description in RNAcentral is "long non-coding RNA (NBEN_LNC000981)". Lineage: Eukaryota; Viridiplantae; Streptophyta; Magnoliopsida; Solanales; Solanaceae. The record is from RNAcentral.
GUUGCAUCGGAGAGCGCUUUCAGUCAAGCAAGACUGCAAAUAGGUGAUCAUAGAGCGUCGAUAAGGGAUAGCUUGGAAAAAUCGGUGCUUUUUAGAGAUUGGAUCCGCACGGAAAGAAGAAACUUUGGAAUUGCAAACUCAUAACCGGCGAUAGAUGAAGCUUAUGAAGAAAUGAUAGCGGAACUUGCGGAGGAUUCGGUUUCGCCCGGAAGUGGUGAUGAACAAGCUUCUUUU